RNAcentral lists this ribosomal RNA (466 nucleotides) under uncultured bacterium. RNAcentral describes it as "partial 16S ribosomal RNA". It matches the Rfam family "Bacterial small subunit ribosomal RNA", at positions 28 to 507 of the family's 1533-position model. The record is from RNAcentral.
GACGAACGCUGGCGGCGCGCCUAACACAUGCAAGUCGAACGAGCGAGAGAGAGCUUGCUUUCUCGAGCGAGUGGCGAACGGGUGAGUAACGCGUGAGGAACCUGCCUCAAAGAGGGGGACAACAGUUGGAAACGACUGCUAAUACCGCAUAAGCCCACGACCCGGCAUCGGGUAGAGGGAAAAGGAGCAAUCCGCUUUGAGAUGGCCUCGCGUCCGAUUAGCUAGUUGGUGAGGUAACGGCCCACCAAGGCGACGAUCGGUAGCCGGACUGAGAGGUUGAACGGCCACAUUGGGACUGAGACACGGCCCAGACUCCUACGGGAAGCAGCAGUGGGGAAUAUUGCACAAUGGGGCAAACCCUGAUGCAGCGACGCCGCGUGGAGGAAGAAGGUCUUCGGAUUGUAAACUCCUGUUGUUGAGGAAGAUAAUGACGGUACUCAACAAGGAAGUGACGGCUAACUACGUG